Molecule: long non-coding RNA, 1306 nt
Filed under: Ursus maritimus (polar bear)
Lineage: Eukaryota; Metazoa; Chordata; Mammalia; Carnivora; Ursidae
Description: lncRNA (ENSUMAG00000015634.1)
Source: RNAcentral
AUGCGAAAACUGAGACUCACAGAGGGCUGUAUCCUCCUCAAGGUCACGCAGUGUGAGCACUGGAGUGAAAAUGCAGACCCGGGCUUAUGUGAACCCACAUGCGAAAUCUCUUCCCUCUGCCAGACCAUCGGAUCCUGCCCUGAAGGGGCCUACAGGCGGCCAGUGGGUUACAGAAAUCACCACAUAAGGACAAGGACAAUCUCUCCUGUGCCUGGCUCGUCAACACUGGGCGCCCCCACGGCCAGCACCCAGCACCCGACUGUGGGUCCUCACUGCCGAGGCUGGGACUCCCCACGUCAUUGUUGAAGCACACUGGUCUGAGAUGGACUGUACAGGUGCUAGGUUCUGCAGAAACGGGGGAGAAGCGUGGGGGGGGGGGUGCGGGAGCACAGAGAGGCCCGAGGAAAGCUUCACUCAAAAAGGGAGCAGAGCCUGGAAGAGCACGGGAACCUGAGCCUGACUGCCGGGGUUCGAAUCCUGCUUUCCCUCUUACCAGCAAAGUGGCUUAACUUCUCUGGGCCUCAGCUGUCUCAUCAGAAAAAAGGAGAUCAUUCGAACACCUCCUUCCCCGGCGUGUUGCAGAGAGUACGUGAACGAUCACACAUAACAGCAUUGAGAACAGCGCCUGGUACCCUGUCCGUGCUCGGUAAGAGUUCGCUGCUGUUGUUAUUAGCCAGGCCCGGAGAAGGGGCUCCACGGGGGCUGCCACAGGCGCCCCCCCCCCCCCCCCUGGAGCUACCUUCCAGGUACAUAUUCCAUGUGCCACUUACGGCCCUGUUGGAAGACAGGCAGGGCAAGGAUUUAGCCCCAUUUUACAGAUGAGGAACCGAGGCUCCCUUAUGGCCAGAACGCCUCAGUUCUAGUCCAGGCCUCCCUCCCUUCCAGCAGCCACGAUGCACCUGUUGUGUGGGCCUCACACAGCGGCCAGCAGCCCCCACUCCCAUCACACCAGAGGGCCCGGCCACAGUGCCCUUCUCACCCCCCCAUGCAGCCACCCCCCCCCCCAGGCAGGCGAGGCGCAGCACACACACACGCGCGCACAGACACAAAGGUGAGGAAAACCUGUUCUGAGCAAUCUGCCUAGCGAGCAAAUUCCAUUCCCAGACCCUUCCACAGUGGCAGGAGCGGCCCAGUGUGCGUCACAGAAGAGCAGGAAAAGCAGAGGUACCGGGAGGGGGGCAGAGAAGAGGGGGAAGCCGGAGGAGGGGACUGAAAACUUCGUGUUUCUUUUUUCCAUGUCAGUGACAAGAGUCACACCCGGCCUCUACAUAAACAUGGCCAAGAAGCCACCCUGUCCAAGCUUAGU